UAUUAUUUGAGCCAGUUUUUGGAGGUGAGGGAGGGACCAUCUCGAUGGGAGAAGGAGAUGGAACGGACUGAGGAGCAGUAUUUUGAAGGACAUGAUGCAUGCUAUAGGCAUUCGAUGGGUCAUGGGGGGAAGGCACUAUGGUGUAUGAAUUAUUAGAAGGGGCAGAAGAACUCUGGGGGUAGGAGGGUGGAGUUAGAGCUGCAAUGGAAUGAUAUGUUGAUGUAGGAGUAAAAGGCGGCAAUGAAGCGAGAGAAGGAGAAACUACGGAGGAGGAGAGUGGGGGAAGUCGAGUUAGUAUUGAGGGAUGCUGAAGAUGCAAUGAAUUUGGAGGUGCUGGCUGUUGGUAAGUGUACGUAUAACCGCCUUGCUGGGAUUCCAUUCCA
Schizosaccharomyces pombe (fission yeast) is the source of this 383-nucleotide non-coding RNA. NCBI's taxonomy places the organism in Eukaryota, Fungi, Ascomycota, Schizosaccharomycetes, Schizosaccharomycetales, Schizosaccharomycetaceae. The record is from the annotation of a GenBank genome assembly.